RNAcentral lists this transfer RNA (89 nucleotides) under candidate division WWE3 bacterium. Its description in RNAcentral is "tRNA-Ser". It matches the Rfam family "tRNA". From Rfam's summary of the family: Transfer RNA (tRNA) molecules are approximately 80 nucleotides in length. Their secondary structure includes four short double-helical elements and three loops (D, anti-codon, and T loops). Further hydrogen bonds mediate the characteristic L-shaped molecular structure. tRNAs have two regions of fundamental functional importance: the anti-codon, which is responsible for specific mRNA codon recognition, and the 3' end, to which the tRNAs corresponding amino acid is attached (by aminoacyl-tRNA synthetases). tRNAs cope with the degeneracy of the genetic code in two manners: having more than one tRNA (with a specific anti-codon) for a particular amino acid; and 'wobble' base-pairing, i.e. permitting non-standard base-pairing at the 3rd anti-codon position. Lineage: Bacteria; candidate division WWE3. The record is from RNAcentral.
GGAGGGUUGGCAGAGUGGUAAUGCAGCGGCUUGCUAAGCCGUGACUGGGUUAAACCGGUCCACAGGUUCAAAUCCUGUACCCUCCGCCA